ACUGCUCAGUAACACGUGGACAACCUGCCCUUUAGGUUGGGUAUAAACCCGGGAAACUGGGUAUAAUACCCGAUAGGUCUCGAUUGCUGGAAUGCAUCGAGAUUUAAAGCUCCGGCGCCUAAGGAUGGGUCUGCGGCCUAUCAGGUAGUAGUGGGUGUAGCGUACCUACUAGCCUACGACGGGUACGGGUUGUGAGAGCAAGAGCCCGGAGAUGGAUUCUGAGACACGAAUCCAGGCCCUACGGGGUGCAGCAGGCGCGAAAACUUUACAAUGCUGGCAACAGCGAUAAGGGAACCUCGAGUGCCAGGUUACAAAUCUGGCUGUCGAGAUGCCUAAAAAGCAUUUCAUAGCAAGGGCCGGGCAAGACCGGUGCCAGCCGCCGCGGUAACACCGGCGGCUCGAGUGGUAACCGUUAUUAUUGGGUCUAAAGGGUCUGUAGCCGGCCGGAUAAGUCUCUUGAGAAAUCGGGCAGCUUAACUGUCAGGCUUUCAGGAGAUACUGUCUGGCUCGAGGCCGGGAGAGGUGAGAGGUACUUCAGGGGUAGGGGUGAAAUCUUGUAAUCCUUGAAGGACCACCAGUGGCGAAGGCGUCUCACCAGAACGGACCUGACGGCAAGGGACGAAAGCUAGGGGCACGAACCGGAUUAGAUACCCGGGUAGUCCUAGCCGUAAACGAUACUCGCUAGGUGUCGGCCACGGUGCGACCGUUGUCGGUGCCGUAGGGAAGCCGUGAAGCGAGCCACCUGGGAAGUACGGCCGCAAGGCUGAAACUUAAAGGAAUUGGCGGGGGAGCAC
Molecule: ribosomal RNA, 794 nt
Filed under: uncultured archaeon
Lineage: Archaea
Description: bacterial SSU rRNA
Rfam family: Archaeal small subunit ribosomal RNA
Source: RNAcentral